UACGUAGGAGACGAGCGUUGUCCGGAAUUACUGGGCGUAAAGCGCGUGUAGGCGGAUGAGCAAGUCUGCUGUGAAAGCUCCUGGCUUAACCGGGAGUGGUCGGUGGAAACUGCUCGUCUGGAGGACGGUAGAGGUAGGUAGAAUUCCCGGUGUAGUGGUGAAAUGCGUAGAGAUCGGGAGGAAUACCUGUGGCGAAGGCGGCCUACUGGGCCGGACCUGACGCUGAGACGCGAAGGCGUGGGGAGCGAACAGG
Molecule: ribosomal RNA, 253 nt
Filed under: uncultured bacterium
Lineage: Bacteria
Description: partial 16S ribosomal RNA
Rfam family: Bacterial small subunit ribosomal RNA
Source: RNAcentral